UAGGGAAUCUUCGGCAAUGGGGGCGAACCCUGACCGAGCAACGCCGCGUGAGUGAAGAAGGUUUUCGGAUCGUAAAGCUCUGUUGUAAGAGAAGGACGUGUGUGAGAGUGGAAAGUUCACACAGUGACGGUAACUUACCAGAAAGGGACGGCUAACUACGUGCCAC
This 166-nucleotide ribosomal RNA is filed under the name uncultured bacterium. Its description in RNAcentral is "partial 16S rRNA". It matches the Rfam family "Bacterial small subunit ribosomal RNA", at positions 355 to 511 of the family's 1533-position model. The record is from RNAcentral.